CCUACGGGAGGCAGCAGUAGGGAAUUUUCCGCAAUGGGCGAAAGCCUGACGGAGCAAUACCGCGUGAGGGAUGACUGCCUGUGGGUUGUAAACCUCUUUUCUCAAGGAAGAAGUCCUGACGGUACUUGAGGAAUAAGCAUCGGCUAACUCUGUGCCAGCAGCCGCGGUAAUACAGAGGAUGCAAGCGUUAUCCGGAAUCACUGGGCAUAAAGCGUCUGUAGGUGGUCUGGUAAGUCUGCUGUUAAAGACUGGGGCUCAACCCCAGAAAAGCAGUGGAAACUGCCAAACUUGAGUGUGGUAGAGGUAGAGGGAAUUCCUAGUGUAGCGGUGAAAUGCGUAGAUAUUAGGAAGAACACCAAUGGCGAAAGCACUCUACUGGACCAUAACUGACACUGAGAGACGACAGCUAGGGGAGCAAAUGGGAUUAGAUACCCCAGUAGUCCUAGCCGUAAACGAUGGAUACUAGAUGUUGCACGUAUUAACCCGUGCAGUAUCGUAGCUAAGGCGUUAAGUAUCCCGCCUGGGAAGUACGCUCGCAAGAGUGAAACUCAAAUGAAUUGACGG
RNAcentral lists this ribosomal RNA (564 nucleotides) under uncultured bacterium. Its description in RNAcentral is "bacterial SSU rRNA". It matches the Rfam family "Bacterial small subunit ribosomal RNA", at positions 338 to 916 of the family's 1533-position model. The record is from RNAcentral.